RNAcentral lists this ribosomal RNA (492 nucleotides) under Microbacterium oxydans. RNAcentral describes it as "bacterial SSU rRNA". It matches the Rfam family "Bacterial small subunit ribosomal RNA", at positions 936 to 1423 of the family's 1533-position model. Lineage: Bacteria; Bacillati; Actinomycetota; Actinomycetes; Micrococcales; Microbacteriaceae. The record is from RNAcentral.
AGCAUGCGGAUUAAUUCGAUGCAACGCGAAGAACCUUACCAAGGCUUGACAUAUACGAGAACNGGCCAGAAAUGGUCAACUCUUUGGACACUCGUAAACAGGUGGUGCAUGGUUGUCGUCAGCUCGUGUCGUGAGAUGUUGGGUUAAGUCCCGCAACGAGCGCAACCCUCGUUCUAUGUUGCCAGCACGUAAUGGUGGGAACUCAUGGGAUACUGCCGGGGUCAACUCGGAGGAAGGUGGGGAUGACGUCAAAUCAUCAUGCCCCUUAUGUCUUGGGCUUCACGCAUGCUACAAUGGCCGGUCGGUACAAAGGGCUGCAAUACCGCGAGGUGGAGCGAAUCCCAAAAAGCCGGUCCCAGUUCGGAUUGAGGUCUGCAACUCGACCUCAUGAAGUCGGAGUCGCUAGUAAUCGCAGAUCAGCAACGCUGCGGUGAAUACGUUCCCGGGUCUUGUACACACCGCCCGUCAAGUCAUGAAAGUCGGUAACACCUG